AGGGGUAUAGCUCAGUUGGUAGAGCAGCUGAUUCCAAAUCAGCAGGUCCAGGGUUCAAGUCCUUGUGCCCCUGCCA
This 76-nucleotide transfer RNA is filed under the name Deltaproteobacteria bacterium. RNAcentral describes it as "tRNA-Trp". It matches the Rfam family "tRNA". Rfam says of the family: Transfer RNA (tRNA) molecules are approximately 80 nucleotides in length. Their secondary structure includes four short double-helical elements and three loops (D, anti-codon, and T loops). Lineage: Bacteria; Pseudomonadati; Myxococcota; Myxococcia. The record is from RNAcentral.